GAUGAAGAACGUAGCGAAAUGCGGUAAGUAAUGUGAAUUGCAGAAUUCAGUGAAUCAUCGAAUCUUUGAACGCACAUUGCGCCCGCCAGUAUUCUGGCGGGCAUGCCUGUUCGAGCGUCAUUUCAACCCUCAAGCCCCAGCGGCCUGGUGUUGGGGACCGGCGACCUCGCCCGAGCCCGCCCUCCGGGGCGCGUGCCCGGUGCGUCCGCCGCCCCCGAAAUGAAUUGGCGGCCUCGUCGCGGCCUCCUCUGCGUAGUAGCACAACCUCGCAAGCGGGAGCGCGACGCGGCCACUGCCGUAAAACGCCCAACUUUUUUAGAGUUGACCUCGGAUCAGGUAGGAAUACCCGCUGAACUUAAGCAUAUCAAUAAGCGGAGGA
This 379-nucleotide unclassified non-coding RNA is filed under the name soil metagenome. RNAcentral's name for it is "partial contains 5.8S ribosomal RNA, internal transcribed spacer 2, and large subunit ribosomal RNA". The stretch from base 1 to 120 matches the Rfam family "5.8S ribosomal RNA", at positions 35 to 154 of the family's 154-position model. The record is from RNAcentral.